GGGGACGUAGCUCAGUUGGGAGAGUAUCGCGUUCGCAAUGCGAAGGUCGGGGGUUCGAAUCCCCUCGUCUCCACCA
This 76-nucleotide transfer RNA is filed under the name Planctomycetota bacterium. RNAcentral describes it as "tRNA-Ala". It matches the Rfam family "tRNA". From Rfam's summary of the family: Transfer RNA (tRNA) molecules are approximately 80 nucleotides in length. Their secondary structure includes four short double-helical elements and three loops (D, anti-codon, and T loops). The record is from RNAcentral. Lineage: Bacteria; Pseudomonadati; Planctomycetota.